UUUCCGUAGGUGAACCUGCGGAAGGAUCAUUAUUGAAUAAACCUGAUGUGGUUGUAGCUGGCCCUUUCGGGAGCAUGUGCACACCCGUCGUCUUUAUCUUUCCACCCGUGCACCUUUUGUAGACCUGGAUGUAACACUUUCCGAGGCAACUCGGUCGGGAGGAAUGCUGUCAGCUUUCCUUGAAUGUCCAGGCCUAUGUUUUCAUAUACCCCAAAGAAUGUAACAGAAUGUAUUAUUGGGCCUUGUGCCUAUAAACUAUAUACAACUUUCAGCAACGGAUCUCUUGGCUCUC
Molecule: unclassified non-coding RNA, 292 nt
Filed under: plant metagenome
Description: partial contains small subunit ribosomal RNA, internal transcribed spacer 1, and 5.8S ribosomal RNA
Source: RNAcentral